This 871-nucleotide non-coding RNA is filed under the name Pseudothielavia terricola. RNAcentral describes it as "sequence contains 28S rRNA gene". It matches the Rfam family "Eukaryotic large subunit ribosomal RNA", at positions 40 to 945 of the family's 3401-position model. Lineage: Eukaryota; Fungi; Ascomycota; Sordariomycetes; Sordariales; Chaetomiaceae. The record is from RNAcentral.
AUAUCAAUAAGCGGAGGAAAAGAAACCAACAGGGAUUGCCCUAGUAACGGCGAGUGAAGCGGCAACAGCUCAAAUUUGAAAUCUGGCUUCGGCCCGAGUUGUAAUUUGCAGAGGAAGCUUUAGGCGCGGCACCUCCUGAGUCCCCUGGAACGGGGCGCCACAGAGGGUGAGAGCCCCGUAUAGUUGGAUGCCUAGCCUGUGUAAAGCUCCUUCGACGAGUCGAGUAGUUUGGGAAUGCUGCUCAAAAUGGGAGGUAAAUUUCUUCUAAAGCUAAAUACCGGCCAGAGACCGAUAGCGCACAAGUAGAGUGAUCGAAAGAUGAAAAGCACUUUGAAAAGAGGGUUAAAUAGCACGUGAAAUUGUUGAAAGGGAAGCGCUUGUGACCAGACUUGCGCCGGGCUGAUCAUCCGGUGUUCUCACCGGUGCACUCUGCCCGGCUCAGGCCAGCAUCGGUUCUCGCGGGGGGAUAAAGGCCCUGGGAACGUAGCUCCUCCGGGAGUGUUAUAGCCCGGGGCGCAAUGCCCUCGCGGGGACCGAGGUUCGCGCUCUGCAAGGAUGCUGGCGUAAUGGUCAUCAGCGACCCGUCUUGAAACACGGACCAAGGAGUCAAGGUUUUGCGCGAGUGUUUGGGUGUAAAACCCGCACGCGUAAUGAAAGUGAACGUAGGUGAGAGCUUCGGCGCAUCAUCGACCGAUCCUGAUGUUCUCGGAUGGAUUUGAGUAGGAGCGUUAAGCCUUGGACCCGAAAGAUGGUGAACUAUGCUUGGAUAGGGUGAAGCCAGAGGAAACUCUGGUGGAGGCUCGCAGCGGUUCUGACGUGCAAAUCGAUCGUCAAAUCUGAGCAUGGGGGCGAAAGACUAAUCGAACCAUCU